Molecule: ribosomal RNA, 468 nt
Filed under: uncultured bacterium
Lineage: Bacteria
Description: partial 16S ribosomal RNA
Rfam family: Bacterial small subunit ribosomal RNA
Source: RNAcentral
GACGAACGCUGGCGGCGUGCUUAACACAUGCGAGUCGAACGGAAAGGCCCUGCUUUUGUGGGGUGCUCGAGUGGCGAACGGGUGAGUAACACGUGAGUAACCUGCCCUUGACUUUGGGAUAACUUCAGGAAACUGGGGCUAAUACCGGAUAGGAGCUCCUGCUGCAUGGUGGGGGUUGGAAAGUUUCGGCGGUUGGGGAUGGACUCGCGGCUUAUCAGCUUGUUGGUGGGGUAGUGGCUUACCAAGGCUUUGACGGGUAGCCGGCCUGAGAGGGUGACCGGCCACAUUGGGACUGAGAUACGGCCCAGACUCCUACGGGAGGCAGCAGUGGGGAAUAUUGCACAAUGGGCGGAAGCCUGAUGCAGCUACGCCGCGUGCGGGAUGACGGCCUUCGGGUUGUAAACCGCUUUCGCCUGUGACGAAGCGUGAGUGACGGUAAUGGGUAAAGAAGCACCGGCUAACUACGUG